GAUGAAGAACGUAGCGAAAUGCGAUACUUGGUGUGAAUUGCAGAAUCCCGUGAACCAUCGAGUCUUUGAACGCAAGUUGCGCCCGAAGCCAUUAGGCCGAGGGCACGCCUGCCUGGGCGUCACACGUCGUUGCCCCCCCAUCUACUCCUUCGGGAUUGCGGGGGGCGGAUGAUGGCCUCCCGUGCGCCUCGUCGCGCGGUUGGCAUAAAUGCCAAGUCCUCGGCGACACACGCCACGAGAAUCGGUGGUUGCGAAACCUCGGUUGCCCGUCGUGUGCGGUCGUCGCGCAUCGAGGGCUCGAAAAAAUUGCCGGGCUCCGGCUCGGCUUUCAACGCGACCCCAAGUCAGGCGGGGUUACCCGCUGAAUUUAAGCAUAUCAAUAAGCGGAGGA
This 391-nucleotide unclassified non-coding RNA is filed under the name soil metagenome. Its description in RNAcentral is "partial contains 5.8S ribosomal RNA, internal transcribed spacer 2, and large subunit ribosomal RNA". The stretch from base 1 to 122 matches the Rfam family "5.8S ribosomal RNA", at positions 35 to 154 of the family's 154-position model. The record is from RNAcentral.